This 1379-nucleotide long non-coding RNA is filed under the name Sus scrofa (pig). RNAcentral describes it as "lncRNA (ENSSSCG00065046232.1)". The record is from RNAcentral. Lineage: Eukaryota; Metazoa; Chordata; Mammalia; Artiodactyla; Suidae.
CUUCUGUCUAAAAUCUUUCCCCAAUACUGAAAUCACCAACAUUGCCCAUGCAUCAUCUUGAAGCAAAGUUUAUUAUCUUUUUUUAUAAAAAAAACAAAAACAAAAAACAAACCUCUGGUUGUGGACUUUGUGAAUUUCAUGAUGCAUUCUUCUUAUGAAAGUUCUUCUAUUUGGAGAAAAUCAAAACUACAUUUAAGAAAAUCUCCUGAUGUUUCCCCAGAAAUCACAAAUACAAGAAUCACAAUAUGGGGGGUUGGGAAUCAUAAACAUUAAGAACAGAUACGAUGUGGAGAUUCAGAGCUUUAAGACAUUCCCUUGCUUUUGUUCCUUGUUUUUUAUUUUUUUCUAAUUUUCAUAGUUAGAUUAUCACCACUACCGCUUUUGCCACUAGCUGAUGUUCCCUGCAAACUUAUGCAGCAAACAAGGACCUAAACAUCUCAUAGAGUCAUUUUAUAUAAUCGGAACUACGCGUUCCUGCUAUAUGAAGCAUUUUCUCUCAUGACCACUGUUUGGUAGUUCAUAACGCUGCAUUUCAUAAAGGUUAAAUAAGGAGUUCCUGUUGUGGCUCAGCAGAUUAAGAACCUAACUAGUAUCCAUGAGGACGCAGGUUUGAUCCCUGGCCUCGCUCAGUGGGUUAAGGAUCCGACAUUACCGUGAGCUAUGGUGUAGGUCACAGAUGUGGCUUGGAUCCCGUGUAGCUGUGGCUGUGGUGUGGGCUGGCAGCUGCAGCUCUGAUUCGACUCCUAGCCUGGAAAUCUCCAUAUGCAGCCCUAAAAAGCAAAAAAAAAAAAAAAAAAUUAAGUUAAUUUAUUGAUGUUGUGGGUUUUUUGUUUUUUUUUUCCUUUUCCUUUUAAUAUCAUACUGUGGAGAAAAAUGAUUUUGAACUAUGGAAUUUCUGUUUACAAGAACUUUUCACUUUUACCAUCAUGUUACAAUUGAAAGGCAUCUGCAUCUUCAGUUUGCUAAUAUUUUCUUAAAAGAUCUAGUGUCCUUUUUGUACACUAAACAGAUGAAUGCACAAAUGUCUUCUAUGAAAACAUUACCCCAUAGCAUUUGUCAAGUGUAAUUCUUACUAGGUCCCUCACACUAAUAGCGUGGGCAUUAAGAAAUGCUUCCCCAUUGCGUCUACCCCUGGCAUCUCGGUUUAUAUACUCUUUCAUAACUAACUACUGAUAGUUACUAAACUUUCCUCUGAUAAUUGAGUGAUUAAAAAAUAUUUAUUUGAGAUUUUCUAAGCUGAGUAGAGACCUAGGUGGGUGAACGGCUGGUAUUCAUCCUCAAAGAUAGAAAAUCCUAGGGAAGAGAGAAAAGUGGAUGCAAUUGUAUGAAACUGACAGGAAAUGGAUGGAUGGGUCCAAGUGUGAUAAAGAAACAUUGGC